This 415-nucleotide ribosomal RNA is filed under the name uncultured microorganism. RNAcentral describes it as "bacterial SSU rRNA". It matches the Rfam family "Bacterial small subunit ribosomal RNA", at positions 9 to 420 of the family's 1533-position model. The record is from RNAcentral.
GAGUUUGAUCCUGGCUCAGAUUGAACGCUGGCGGCAUGCCUUACACAUGCAAGUCGAACGGCAGCAUGAUCUAGCUUGCUAGAUUGAUGGCGAGUGGCGAACGGGUGAGUAAUACAUCGGAACGUGCCCUGUAGUGGGGGAUAACUAGUCGAAAGAUUAGCUAAUACCGCAUACGACCUGAGGGUGAAAGUGAGGGACCGCAAGGCCUCAUGCUAUAGGAGCGGCCGAUGUCUGAUUAGCUAGUUGGUGGGGUAAAGGCCCACCAAGGCGACGAUCAGUAGCUGGUCUGAGAGGACGAUCAGCCACACUGGGACUGAGACACGGCCCAGACUCCUACGGGAGGCAGCAGUGGGGAAUUUUGGACAAUGGGCGAAAGCCUGAUCCAGCAAUGCCGCGUGUGUGAAGAAGGCCUCGG